UGUGGAGUUUUACCCUCUGCUCUUCUGGCCACCCUCCUGAUGGAUCCCUGCGGUGCCAGGCAGGAAUGGGCUGCUUGGGGACCCGGUGAGCCCCCCAGGGCCUUUCUGCUGCUUUCUCUACCCCUGUAUUUUGCUUGGCUCAGCUCUCUAACUUGACUCAGCUCCAGGGACAAAAGAGGAACCUCUGGCAAGGCUAUGCCUGCUACCUGCCUUGUGAUUGGGCAGAAACUCCCACCCGUGGGAGCUGAAACUGGUUUUUAGAGAAAAUUUUCUUUGAACUGGAGGAUACAUUGUGAUUUUGGCAUCUGUAGCUGAUACUCUGCAUUGCCAUGAACCAAGAUGACAGCCUCUUAAGGCAACUGUGCAUGAUGAGAGCUGACUUGCGCAUUGCUGCCUGCCUUAGUUAGUGCUGAGGGUGCUGUACUAUGGCUGGCAAAAUUUUAUGGAAGACAGCAGAGCCCAGCAAUAGAUCAACUGAUUUCAAUCGUUCAUUCAACCACAUUUGCUGAAUGUCUACCAUGUACCAGUUAGGUGCUGGCAAUACAGUGAUGAAUACAAGAACGUGGUCCCUGAUUUGAUAAAAUUUAUAAUCUAAUUAACAGCAGUUCUCCCAUAUCUGUGGUUUUGUUUUCCAUGGCUUCAGUUGUCCAUGGUUAAUUUGAUCCAAAAAUAUUAAAUGGAAAUUCCAGAAAUAAACAAUUCAUAAGUUUUAAAUUGUGCUCUGUUUUGAGUAGUGUGAUGAGAUUUCGCUUUGUCCCACUACGUCUUGCCUGGGAUGCGAAUCUUCCCUUUGUUCAGCGUCUCCACGCUGUUGACACUUGCUGCCCAUGAGUAACUUAAUAUCCACCUUGGUCGAGGGAUCACCGUGCUUGUGUUCGAGGAAUACCUAUUUUAUUUUACCAGUGGCCCCAAAAUGCAAGAGUGAUGAUGCGGGUAUAUUGUUAUAAUUGUUCUAUUUUAUUAUUAGCUAUUAUUGUUAAUCUCUUACUGUGCCUAAUUUAUAAAUCAAAUUUUAUCAUAGGCAUGUACGUAUAGGAAAAAAUAGGAAAAAACCGUAUAUAGGGCUUGGUACCAUCUGAAGUUUCAGACAUCCACUGGGGGUCUUAGAAUGUAUCCUCCACAGAUAAGAGGAGAUUCCUAGUUUCAUUCCUUAAAUCAGUAAGAAACCAAGUAACAUGGGGUUCCAAGGCUUACACUUUGACUGUUUUGGAUAAUGAUAAUGAGUUUUGAAGGAAUCGAUUUUUAUCCCUUUCUGUUGAACUGUCUUCUAGCUGUGGCAUUGCAUGAGAGGGAAGCAGCCAAGACCGUAAGAGCUGUGUCGCUCUAAUUAGGUGCCAGGAGGAAGUGGAAAUGAAUUCAGAGCCACACAUUCUCCAUUUUUCAUAUCUUAAACACAGAAGACACUAUCAGAGAUUUCCAGGUGACCGCAAUGAGAAAAGGGCCUUUUGUCCCACUAUGUCUUGCCUGGGACGCAAAAUCUUUAGUUUGUUUCCAUUAUUGAUAAAAUAAACAUAUAUAGUACAUGAUUUUAUGUCCCCCAUGUUCAUUUAAACAAUUUAUAGUGUUUAUUAUUUGUCUGAUUUUGGAAAGAAUACAUAUUUACUAUAGAAAAUUUUUAAAUGUAGUCAAAAGAAGAAAAAGCCUGCUCAAAUUCCCUCACUCGGAAGUACUCCUUGUAAACAGUCUCUUUUGUGUAUGUUUGUUUGUGUGUAUUACUAAAUUGUAUAUAUUUUGUAUAUUUAAUUUUAUAUCCUCUUUUAUUCACUCAAAAUUAUACCUUUAGUAUUUUCUCAUAUAAUUAAAUAACUUUUAAUUUACAAACUUGUGGAAAAAUAGCUUUAUAAUGUUUUAUUUUGGAAAAAUAAUUAUUUAUUGUCCAAGUAUUACCAUAAAAAUACUUUAAAAAAAGAUUACGCUGCUGACAAAUUUAUGUUAGACUUUUUUCUUUAAUGAUUUCUUCAUAUGUAGUUGUUGUAUAGCUGAGCAUAGGAAAUUAAAAAGCCUCUUUAAAGAUCUGUACUUUCUCAAGGUUGGUAUUUAAAGGAUAAAAGCAACACUACUUUCAUUUGUAAAAGUAAUUGACAUUUAACAAACAUCGCUAAUAUUUUGGUUUAUGUUCUUCUGGAUCAUUCGAUGCCAAUGUGUGUAUAAAUGAAACAAAAAUAUGAUGAAUUCGACAGUACAUUGCAAAUAUUUUUCUAGUAAUAGUAUAUGCAGUCUACAUCAUCUCUUCUAAUGGCUACAAGAUUUUCCAUUGUUAGGAUAGAUACAAAUUUAUUUAAUUAAUAUACUGUUAUUGGAUAUUUAUGUUGCAAUUU
This 2318-nucleotide small RNA is filed under the name Pongo abelii (Sumatran orangutan). Its description in RNAcentral is "processed transcript". Lineage: Eukaryota; Metazoa; Chordata; Mammalia; Primates; Hominidae. The record is from RNAcentral.